RNAcentral lists this long non-coding RNA (939 nucleotides) under Bos mutus (wild yak). Its description in RNAcentral is "lncRNA (ENSBMUG00000022637.1)". Lineage: Eukaryota; Metazoa; Chordata; Mammalia; Artiodactyla; Bovidae. The record is from RNAcentral.
GUCGGCUCUUCUAUGAGGGGUAGUCACAGCCCACUUGCGGCACCUCCGUGGCGGCCUCCACCUUCAUCGCGGUGCUGUAGGGUCUUGCAUUAGCUUCCGGAUCUUGAGAGGGCCCAAAGCCGUGAAACAUCAGGGACCAGGGCUGCGAAUACCCUUGGGACCUUUGUCCAAGACACAGGCUCUUCCCUUUCAGGAGUCUUAUGGCCUCUAGCCUGCUUUUAAACCGUUCUUUUUACCCCUGUUAUCCCCUCCUCCCGAUUCUCUUAACUCAGUACCUCUCUGGCCUUAAGGAGAGGAAAUACGCAAGAUGAGGUACGCAAACGAGUGUUGGGUAACCAGGUAUGUGAAUGAGCAGGGGCUGAGAACCCAAUUAAUUAUACCACAAAGCCUCCUGAAGGCACACAUGGUCUUUGGUUCCGUAAUUACUUCACUGCUGUCAGGCAGUGGGCCGAAAGAGUUUCUUCGGAGCUCUCCAAAACCUCACCGUCUCACCUUUACUUGGCAAAGGGACUUUGUAUCAGAAAACUGUUUUUGGAUUAUAGAGCUAGGAGCCCUCAAGCGAUUGAGGCAGUCCCACAGCAGUCAGGAGAUGAGAAAACUGAGGUCAGAAAGGUAAACUGAGAAGCCUGUUUUGGAAGAGAAGUGCAAGUAUGUGAUAUCCAGUAUGAAGGAACAAAACCCUCUGAUUUCUACAUGGAAAACAAACCCUCUUUUGGCUGCGUCUCUGUGCGAUAGAAACCAGGAAGCAGCAGCCUCAGAAGCUUCCAGUCACCUCCUGCCUACCUGCACUGCUGUCACUCAGAUUCUUCUUCCCCCGCCCUGGCCUCAAGGAGGGGAGGAAGGAAGGGCGAAGGAAGGACGAAGCAGAAUUCUAGGAGCGUCCUCUCCACUGUCGUCUUUGCCAAUAAAAUUUAAGAUGCAUCAUUUUCUAUUUGUUGU